GGAUGUGUGGACCAUCUGGCUGUGACAUCUGUCACUCCAUUGAUCCCCAGGGUUGAUUGGAUUGAUCUGGCUGGUUAGGCGUGAUUCCCCUUCCUCCCUCACUGCUCCAAGUCUGUCCCUGACAAAGCUGAGCAAAGAUGACGAGGACCUUCCCUGAUAGAGGAGGACCAUUCGUCUGUCAAGGAUAAACAGGUAGCUAUGCGCCCCCUACUAGAACCGUCAAACAAGCUCUCAAGAUCCAUUUGUAGGAGAUCCUGAGUGGUCAGGUUUCCAAGACUCUAGACACAUACAAAUGAGGCGCUGCAUGGGGCAGUUUGCCUUUUUUU
Molecule: small nuclear RNA, 326 nt
Filed under: Felis catus (domestic cat)
Lineage: Eukaryota; Metazoa; Chordata; Mammalia; Carnivora; Felidae
Description: 7SK RNA
Rfam family: 7SK RNA
About the family: 7SK was discovered as an abundant small nuclear RNA in the mid-70s but a possible function has only recently been suggested. Two independent studies have found that 7SK RNA binds the CDK9/cyclin T complex (known as elongation factor P-TEFb). P-TEFb activates transcription by phosphorylating the C-terminal domain of RNA polymerase II.
Source: Rfam by way of RNAcentral